UACGGAGGGUGCAAGCGUUGCUCGGAUUUAUUGGGCGUAAAGGGUAGGUAGGUGGUCUUAUUUGUCUAGGGUGAAAUCCUUGAGCUUAACUCAAGAAGUGCCCUAGAAACGGUAAGACUAGAGUCCUGGAGAGGGUCGUGGAAUUCCCGGUGUAGCGGUGAAAUGCGUAGAGAUCGGGAGGAACACCAGAGGCGAAGGCGGAUCUCUGGACAGUUCCUGACACUGAGGCACGAAGGCCAGGGGAGCAAACGGG
RNAcentral lists this ribosomal RNA (253 nucleotides) under uncultured bacterium. Its description in RNAcentral is "partial 16S ribosomal RNA". It matches the Rfam family "Bacterial small subunit ribosomal RNA", at positions 524 to 776 of the family's 1533-position model. The record is from RNAcentral.